RNAcentral lists this ribosomal RNA (253 nucleotides) under uncultured bacterium. RNAcentral's name for it is "partial 16S ribosomal RNA". It matches the Rfam family "Bacterial small subunit ribosomal RNA", at positions 524 to 776 of the family's 1533-position model. The record is from RNAcentral.
UACGAAGGGGGCUAGCGUUGCUCGGAAUCACUGGGCGUAAAGGGCGCGUAGGCGGAUCUUUAAGUCGGGGGUGAAAGCCUGAGGCUCAACCUCAGAACUGCCAUUGAUACUGAUGAUCUUGAGUAUGAUUGAGGUGGGCGGAAUGUGUCAUGUAGCGGUGAAAUGCUUAGAUAUGACACAGAACACCGAUUGCGAAGGCAGCUCACUAAGCCAUAACUGACGCUGAUGCACGAAAGCGUGGGGAGCAAACAGG